GUAGUGUUCCAUGAUUCAUUUUGCCAAAAUAUCUUCCAGAAUCUACUAUACACGAAAGUGCCGGAUUCUAACACACCAUCAGCAAAGCUGUGUUACCACACCUGAUUUCUACUAACCUGGUUUAAUAUCUCAUUGUUUCAGCUGAACAAGGAAAAAAAAUGAAGUGAGCUGAAUUUGGAGCCCAGCAUCUCAACCAUCACUGAAAUAACCUCAAAAUCUCAGAAGCUUAACAGAAAAAAGGGAACUUAGGAGGCUGAACUUCCAAUGACCCAGCGACGGAGCCUGAGAUCAUGAAGCGGAAUUUCCUGUGCUUAGCAUCUGUACCGCUUGGGCUCAUUUAUCUUUACAAAUAGUUUUCCGAGAGACAAGGCAGCGUGAGCUCAGGAAGAGAGAAGUCAUGACCGACAUGAGUUUCCCAGACAUCCGGCUUUGUGACCUGUUGCGGCCGCCUUGGCUGGUUUAUGGUGGUGGCCUCGCCCAUCUGCCAGUGUCCAAAGAUGGGACAGGGGCUGAAAUCAAAUGUUCUCCCAGCUCUUAAGGAUACACAACAAUUCCCGCUGUCCUCUUA
Long non-coding RNA from Neomonachus schauinslandi (Hawaiian monk seal), 568 nucleotides. RefSeq lists it as uncharacterized. NCBI's taxonomy places the organism in Eukaryota, Metazoa, Chordata, Mammalia, Carnivora, Phocidae. The transcript has 3 exons. The record is from RefSeq and is a predicted model, not a curated record.